CUUUUUCUUUUUUUUUUUUCAAAUUUUCUCUUUAUUUUGAUCCCAAUUUUAUUUUCUCCUUCGUUUACAGUCAAAUUAGUAACUUUAAAGAUUCAUUCAUUCAUUGUAAUAUUGGUUCACAAUUUUACACUUUAAUCCCUAACAUCUUCUGUAUUCGCACCCAUUGUGUCAAAUUUUACCAUUCUCCCUAUCUUUCUCCAUAAUUUACAGCUAUUUUGACCUUGUGCGUAAUCUCUACUAUCUCCUUUGAAAUAUUCGACGCAGACAUGCUACCAAUUUUUCUACAAAAUUGAGCAUAUAGAAUUUUAUUGGAGUUAAUGUAUCUUAUUUUGUCAAAAUUAAUGAAAUUUCAAAUGGAUGGAAAGUUGGAACAAAAUAUAAAGUGUAAACUUCAAAUGCCAUCACUGUGGUUUCUCGCUUUCUCAUUCUAGUAUUAUGUAGUUUAAAACGUAUGAUUUUAAUAUCUAAUGGUUUUAUUUUUCUCUUUCUGUCAGUUUCUUCAGUAAUUCUUCGUUAAAUCAUGUACAAAAAAAAAACUUUAAAUACUCCAUCUAUCGUUUGUCGAAUAUUCAGUUAGUACUUUAUAAUUUACCGAAUUUUUAUUUUAGUAUCUGAUUUUAACUUUGUCACUGAUUUAAGGAAAAAAAUUAAUAUAGAAAAUAACAAAAAGACAGAAAUAAAAUUACAUGAUACGGAAGUGAUACAUUUUAAAUUAUAGGAUACUAAAGCAAGAAAGUGUGAAAUCACAAAAGUGCUAUUUGAAGUUUUUCCAAAUAUAAAAGCCUGAGGGCAAAAAAACAGAAAAAAAAAAAAGAGAAAAGGUCAGGACCAAAUGAAAAGUAAGGGAAAGUUAGGGAAUAAUGGUGCAAUUAUCCCUUUCCAGAUCUACUAGCGUCGGAGACGGGGAUUAGUACUCCGAUCGAUCGAACAAAGGAUUAUUACUCCGAUCGAUCGAUCGAAUAAAAAGAUGGAGAAUAAGAAUAAGGCGAAUAAGGCGAAUAAGGUUGAUGCGGAGGAGGCGAAUAAGAAGCGGAGGAGGCACGGAUCGACCAAGCUAUUCGUGGCGGUGGAUUACUUGUUCCUCCUCGUCUUCUUCUGCUUCCUCGCCUAUUUCCUCCUCAAAAUGUGGCCUAUCCAUGGAUUUUGGGGUUAAAUUUGAUGAUGAUGAUGUUGUUUUUGCUGUUGCUGUUGCUGAUGAUGACGACGAUGAAGAGGAGAAACCCUAGAUUCUGGUAUUUUUCCUGCUUUUUCCCCUCGUUUUUGCCCCGAAUUUGUAACCCUGUUUUGUCGUUGUUGUAGCAUAUUUCUCAACAACGUUCUCCCACGCCAUGAAUUGAGAAAAAUUUCUUUCUUUUUUUUUUUGUUUUUGUUUUUGUGUGUGUUCUUCGUCUUUUAUGAUCUGCGGAUGUGUUGAUCCGAUUUAAUUAUCGUCUGAAUGAUGAUGCGGCAUUUGAUGCUUCUAUAGUCGUACUAAGAAUUUAAUUGUUCUUAUUAAUUGCUCCUUUUUUAUUAAAAAUUUUAAUCCAUCACACAAAUAUGUUACGCAUACUUUGGUAACACCGCGGCGGCUAAAAGCAUCGCUUUUAUAUAUUAAAAUAUUAUAAAAUUUUAUUAUUGAAAUUGAUUAUAAAUUUUUUAAAAAACUUUUUUAAAAAUAAAGAAUAAUAUUUUUAGUUACUACGAUAUUAAACCUAUAAUCUCACAAAACUGAAGAUGUAUCGAACUGGCUCUGAUACAACGAUGUGAUAAGAAACAACCCAGAAAUGUACCUGCCCUGUUAUCCUUGAUCUUGAGUGGAGAACUAAUAAUUAAUUAGUGAGGUGGUGUUCCUCAUCUAAGAUGAUGUUUAGAACUGGUUAUAGGAUAGGUUACUUACACCAUCAGUGAGGAAUAACAAUUGAUUUUUUUUUAAAAAAAAAUUAUCAGUAAUAAUGUUGAUUAAUUAUAUUAUUUUUAAAGAGUUAACUAGAUUUUCACCCGUGCGAUGCACGACUAAUAUAAUAAUAUAGAAUAAUAAAAAUUAUUAUGUGAUGAUAAUAAAAAAAAAUUUUAAUUAAUUUAUUUUUUUUAACAAAUAAAAAUAUAUACUAUCAAUCUUAAUUAUAGUACAUAUUAAAAUACAUAAGUUAGAGAAAAAAAAAUUUGGACCAAAAUAAAUAUUCAACUAAAAUGCAAAAUUUAAUCAUGCUCUAUUAUCUAUGAAUUGGUAUGCAAAAUAAUUUACAUUUACAUAUUGAUGUGCGAAAUAAAAUGAUAACUAAAAUUGAUAUGAAAAAUUACAAAUGACAUUAAUAUUUAAGAAUAUAAUGAGAUCAACUAAACUUUCAUAUAUGAAACAAAUUAGAGUAAGCACACAUAUAUUAUAUUCCUACUGUCACUUCUAAGAUUUAAAAAUAUAUAGAUAUUGGUUUUCAAGAAAAUAUAAAGAAAAAACAUUUUGUUGCAUGAAGAUGAAAAGUUACAGGAGUGACAGUAGGAAAAAAAAUUACGAAAUAAAAAUUACAGAAUUGAUAGUAGGGAAAUAAUAUGUUCUAUUUUAAAGCAUCAAUAUUUAAGAGCGAAGAAAAUUACAGGAGUGAUGUGAAUUUUAAAUUUUUUUCUCUUUCCAAAAAUGCCUAUCUUUUUUUACUAAUAUUUUUAUGUUCAGAAAUUUUCAACCAAUCAUUUCAAAUAAUUAACUAAGUGAUAAUAUAUUCCUAAAUAAAGAUAAAUAUUUUCCUUCUCACGCGUAAUAUCCGCACCGCCAAUUUUUUCGCAACAUAAUAUCAGUAAAUUUUUCAAAUAUCUCAACAUAAUUAUAGGUGACUUUGAAAUAAAAUUUUCUUUAUUAUAUAUAAAAAUUUAUAUUUGAGCUUGGCAAAUAUAUAGAGCGCCACGUGUCAACUUCUCACAUAGGAUUCAUUAAGGGUUCUACUUUUAUAUAUAGUAAUAGAUUGCAUACGGCUUCUUGUAAACCUAUCGAAUAACAAAUAUAUUCAUAUAAAAUUCAACUUUUCAUAUUUAUUCUUAUAAAAGUCUUAACGUUUUCAAAUAUACCCUUACUGUUAGGAUCCGUUAGAAAAAUAUACUUAUAAAUAGGUAAAAUACUUAAUCAUUAUUAGUGAAUGAGGUAAAUUAAUUUUUUAUUUUUUUAUAAUAUUUGUGAUAGGAGAAAAAAGAAGACGACCGUUGGAGAUUUUUAGAAGGACAUGGCAAAAUGUCAUUUCACUUAUUUUUAUUUAAAAAAUAAAAAGUAUUCUAACGGUAACAAAUCAGAAGAGCAAAUAUGAAUAUCACUGACUUUUGCAGAAGAAAAAUAUAAAAAGUUAAAUUUUGUAGGAAUAUAUUUGUUAUUCGACAUGUUUAAAGAAAACUGUACGAAAUUAACCUUAUUUUAAA
This 3378-nucleotide long non-coding RNA is filed under the name Ananas comosus (pineapple). RNAcentral's name for it is "long non-coding RNA (ACOM_LNC030980)". Lineage: Eukaryota; Viridiplantae; Streptophyta; Magnoliopsida; Poales; Bromeliaceae. The record is from RNAcentral.